GCUAACUACGUGCCAGCAGCCGCGGUAAUACGUAGGGGUCGAGCGUUGUCCGGAGUUACUGGGCGUAAAGCGCGCGCAGGUGGCUCAUUGCGCCCGGCGUGAAAGCCCCCGGCCUAACCGGGGAGGGUCGUCGGGGACGGGUGAGCUUGAGGGUAUCAGGGGCUGGUAGAAUUCCCGGUGUAGUGGUGAAAUGCGUAGAGAUCGGGAGGAAUACCCGUGGCGAAGGCGGCCAGCUGGGAUACACCUGACACUGAGGCGCGAAGGCGUGGGGAGCGAACGGGAUUAGAUACCCCAGUAGUC
This 300-nucleotide ribosomal RNA is filed under the name uncultured Sphaerobacter sp. RNAcentral describes it as "bacterial SSU rRNA". It matches the Rfam family "Bacterial small subunit ribosomal RNA", at positions 496 to 795 of the family's 1533-position model. The record is from RNAcentral. Lineage: Bacteria; Pseudomonadati; Thermomicrobiota; Thermomicrobia; Sphaerobacterales; Sphaerobacteraceae.